This 173-nucleotide small RNA is filed under the name uncultured Superficieibacter sp. RNAcentral describes it as "Gammaproteobacterial sRNA STnc100". It matches the Rfam family "Gammaproteobacterial sRNA STnc100". The record is from RNAcentral. Lineage: Bacteria; Pseudomonadati; Pseudomonadota; Gammaproteobacteria; Enterobacterales; Enterobacteriaceae.
GGUAUAAGAUUUUUUUGUGGUGAAUCCCCCUGAGCGGAGGGGCGUAAUCAGCACCCGGUUAACAGCAAGACAACCUAACACGCAAGUUUCAGUCGCUGGCUCGAACUUACCGGGAGGCACCCGGCACCACAACUCAAAAAAAUAUCUCACAAGCCUGCGAUGCAGGCUUUUUU